This 710-nucleotide ribosomal RNA is filed under the name uncultured fungus. RNAcentral's name for it is "SSU rRNA". It matches the Rfam family "Eukaryotic small subunit ribosomal RNA", at positions 326 to 1041 of the family's 1831-position model. Lineage: Eukaryota; Fungi. The record is from RNAcentral.
UGGUAGGAUAGAGGCCUACCAUGGUGGUAACGGGUAACGGGGUGUUAGGGCACGACACCGGAGAGGGAGCCUGAGAAACGGCUACCACAUCCAAGGAUGGUAGCAGGCGCGCAAAUUACCCAAUCCCGACACGGGGAGGUAGUGACAAUAAAUAACAAUACGGGGUUCUUUAGGAUCUCGUAAUUGGAAUGAGUACAAUUUAAAUCUCUUAACGAGGAACAAUUGGAGGGCAAGUCUGGUGCCAGCAGCCGCGGUAAUUCCAGCUCCAAUAGCGUAUAUUAAAGUUGUUGCAGUUAAAAAGCUCGUAGUUGAAUUUCGGGAUCAAUUUAUUGGUCGUGCUAUUGUACGUACUGGUAUUAUUGAUUCCUACCUUCUGACGAACCAUGAUGUCAUUAAUUUGGUGUCUUGGGGAAUCAGGACUGUUACUUUGAAAAAAUUAGAGUGUUUAAAGCAGGCUCACGCUUGAAUACAUUAGCAUGGAAUAACGAAAUAGGACGUUUGAUUCUAUUUUGUUGGUUUCUAGGAUCGACGUAAUGAUUAAUAGGGAUAGUUGGGGGCAUUAGUAUUCAAUUGUCAGAGGUGAAAUUCUUGGAUUUAUUGAAGACUAACUACUGCGAAAGCAUUUGCCAAGGAUGUUUUCAUUAAUCAAGAACGAAAGUUAGGGGAUCGAAGACGAUCAGAUACCGUCGUAGUCUUAACCAUAAACUAUG